CCAGCGAACUUGGCAGAGAUGCCUUGGUGCCUGCGGGAACGCUGAGACAGGUGCUGCAUGGCUGUCGUCAGCUCGUGUUGUGAAAAUGUUGGGGUUAAGUCCCGNAACGAGCGCAACCCUUAUCCUUUGUUGCCAGCGAUUCGGUCGGGAACUCAAGGGAGACUGCCGGUGAUAAACCGGAGGAAGGUGGGGAUGACGUCAAGUCAUCAUGGCCCUUACGAGUAGGGCUACACACGUGCUACAAUGGCGCAUACAAAGAGAAGCGACCUCGCGAGAGCAAGCGGACCUCAUAAAGUGCGUCGUAGUCCGGAUCGGAGUCUGCAACUCGACUCCGUGAAGUCGGAAUCGCUAGUAAUCGUGGAUCAGAAUGCCACGGUGAAUACGUUCCCGGGCCUUGUACACACCGCCCGUCACACCAUGGGAGUGGGUUGCAAAAGAAGUAGGUAGCUUAACCUUCGGGAGGGCGCUUACCACUUUGUGAUUCAUGACUGGGGUGAAGUCGUAACAAGGUAAGCGUAGCGAG
RNAcentral lists this ribosomal RNA (523 nucleotides) under uncultured bacterium. Its description in RNAcentral is "bacterial SSU rRNA". It matches the Rfam family "Bacterial small subunit ribosomal RNA", at positions 988 to 1509 of the family's 1533-position model. The record is from RNAcentral.